AAAGGGGGAAGAGUGUGAACAAGAGAGAGAAGAGGCGUUCUCUAACAGAAAGAGGUAGAGGAGAGGAGAGCAAAAUAGUUGUUUUCUAUCUCCGUGUGGCUCACACUGAGAGUUGUCUCACCAAAAGAGAGGGAAUAUUUUAUUUAUUUUUCUUCUGUUCAUGUUAUCACCACUGAUCAUACAGAAUAAAAAUCUUGUUAAACUGGGGUUUUCUUCAAUCUGAACUCAACAGUAAAACAGAUUUCAUCUCAGACUGAUUCUUCUUGCGGGACUAGUUUUAUUAGGAUCCUACUAGUUGUCAUAAUACCAGUCUGUCUCUGAGAUGGGGUCCAGAACUCUUCUACUUGUUCUGGGUCUUUAUUUUACACUACUGGGGAACCUAGAGGCCAGAGUUUGCGGCCUGGGCUUCAUUGCCAAUGAGAGUCAACAAUGUGAUGAUAUAGAUGAGUGUAAAGAGUGGGACAGUACCCCACCCUGUGGAAGUAAAGCCACGUGUUACAAUACAUAUGGAAGCUUCUACUGUCACUGUCUACCUGGGUUCAGAUCCACAACGACUUUCAAGUUUACUCCUCUCACUGGGGAGUGUAAUGACCUCGAUGAGUGCAAGGGAAGACUACGGGUUUGUCCCAGCAACGCCAUUUGCCUCAACACCAUUGGGAGCUACCACUGCCUGUGCCAACCUGGGUUCAGAUUCUCUAAUCACACUGUGAAGAACUGAUGGAAAUUCCAAUAUCAAGUUUUCUGAUGAAUUUACCAAUGAUUUUGUCACGUCUGCUGCUGCUCCCCCUCUCUGACGCUCGAGGUUGCCUGGCGGCUCAUCAUUACUCACACCUCUCACCAUCGUUACGCGCCCCAGUGCUUCAUCGGACUCACCUGGACUCCAUCACGUCAUUGAUUAUCUACCCUAUAUCUGUCACCCCCUCCAGUUAAUUUUCCGCGUCUGCAUUGAUGUUGUUUUGUUUCUCCUGUCCUGUUAUUUACCAUGAUGCCCUAGGAACAGUGGGUUAACUGCCUUGUUCAGGGGCAGAACAACAUGUAUAUUUAUCUUUCAGCUCCAGGUAUUCGAACUAGCAACCAUUUGGUUAUUGUCCAAAUGCUCUAACCACUAGGCUACUACCGCCCCUUAGGAUACCUAUCUCCCUGCUGUUAACCUCUCUUGGGUAGGGGGCAGUAUUUUCACCUCCUGAUGUAAAGCAUGCCCAGAGUAAAUUGCCUGUUACUCAGGCCCAGAAUUUAGGAUAUGCAUAUAAUUAGUAGAUUUGGAUAGAAAACACUUUAAAGUUUCCAAAACUGUUAAAAUAAUAUGCCUGCAAGUAUAACAGAACUGAUAUGGCAGGCGAAAACCUGAGAAAAAUCCAUCCAGGAAGUGGAAUUGUUUUCAUGUGGCUGUUUUUCAACUCAAUACCAAUAGAGAAUCCAAUGGGUUAGGAAAAAAAAAACUCAGGCUCAAACGCAGUCAAAACAGGCUGACAAAAAAAUCCAAAUUGUAUCCGUAAAGUUCAUAGAAACAUGUCAAACGAUGUUAAUUUUCAAUCCUCAGGUUGUUUUUAGCCUAAAUGAUCUAUAAUAUUUCAACCGGACAAUAACAUCGUCAAUUUAGGUAAACAAGAAAUGCACUCUCUCGGGAUUGCGCAUGAAAAAGUUCUGCGACAGGGUAGGGUCCACUCAUUCAGACUGGUGUUACUCCCACAUUUAUAAGAAUACAAGCCUGAAACGAUUUCUAAAGACGGUUGACAUCUAGUGGAAGGCAUAGGAACUGCAAAUGGAGUCCUAAAUCAAUGGAUACUGUAAUGGCAUUGAAUAGAAAACUACAAAAUCCCCCCCAAAACUACUUCCUGAAUGGAUUUUUCUCAUGUUUUCGCCUGCCAAAUCAGUUCUCUUUUACUAAGAGACACUAUUUUAACAGUUUUGGAAACUUUAGAGUGUUUUCUAUCCAAAUCUACCAGUUAUAUGCAUAUCAUAUCUUCUGGGCCCGAGUAGCAGGCUGUUUAAUUAUGGGCAUGCUUUUCAUCCAAAAUUCUGAAUGCUGCCCCCUACCCUGGAGAGGUUGAGAAAUGUACUGAAAACCCCAGUGUAAACCUUGUACACAAAAUGUUUGAAAUGUUUGAAACGUCUUUUAAUAUUGAUUAUGAAGUAGAGGGAAAGAAAGGGGAAAUAAACACUCACUUAAUAGGGUUGAAUGACCUCCGACCUCUAUUCUGACUUUCUGGUGAGGCCUAAUCACCCUCACUAGAAAGGCUAGAGACAUUGGGUGAGAUUUAAAUGUAAGAUGUAAACACUGAUAAUUAGUAAGAAGGUUAUAAAUUAAAUCAGAUGGGUCACAUACACAUGUUUUAUCAAUAGUCCUAUGUGUGAUUCAGACCAUGAGGAGGAGAGAGAGAGAGAGUGCUGCCCCUGAAUGAGGGAAACCUGUCUCCAGUCCAAAUUAUGGGAUACAAUUAUUUCCUUAUGGAGUUAUCAAGGCAUGUCAUUUGAUUGUAUUUGUUAUUCUGAUUUGUUUAUUUUUUACUUAAACGGCAGUGUUGUUGUUGUUGUUUUGGACGCAUAAAACACGAUGUGAGUCAUGUGUCAAAAGGGAAGAAGUGCAUUGUGGUUGUUGUUCUUGGUUGUUGUUUGAAUUGUGGUUUUUGUUUUGUUUGUUGUAUGAUGUUUUGUUUGUUUUAUUUUUGUCUUGCUUCAAAAAAAAAUCUCUCCAGAUUGGUUCUGCUGUAUGGUCGGGAUUUCUCCCUAAGGGUUAGCCCUCUACCAAACCUGACCCUGUAACUCUGCAGUGAGGUCGUCAAUGUUACAGGGGAGAAUAAGCCAAUUUGAUAAAAUGGUUUUAACAGUGUGUUGUUAUUCUAUUUGACAUUUGUCUUAGACAUUUCUAUUAAGAAUAUUGGCAGUGGUAAUAAUUUGUUAUUCAGUAAAUAGUUUGUCUGGUUUCAGGCUUUUAUUUUGAAAAACGAUGUGUUAAAAGCCAUUUUAACAAUUAAAACAAUUUUAACAAUAGUUAUCACAGUGUAAUACAUGGAAAGGAGGGAAAGUGAGGGAAAAUGUUGCAGUCUGAAGAGGUAGCAUUGAAUUGUACACAGCAUCUCCUCCCACUCUAUCUUGGUUCGUGCAGGUGACUGUGACCUCCUCCUCAGACCAAUUGACAGUACGCCCAGAACAUUGUUCUGGGUUCCAAAAGGAGUAUCUCAGUUUCAAGGUCCCAGAUUUGAGAGAAGAAACCUUGUUAGUUAUUAGUCAGUCAGUCACUUCCAGGAACCAACUUAGAUGAUGAAUAAUGAAUCAUGUAAAUCAUGCCUAUAUGAAUUGUUUGGGUAGCCGUAUAUUAGAGAACUAACGGGACUGUCCCGGCAGAGCUCCUGACCGAUGUGUACUAUGUUGCAUUAAGUUUGUUGGAACCUCUCCAGCUUUCUGAUAAUAAAGAAUUAAUCA
Long non-coding RNA from Oncorhynchus tshawytscha (Chinook salmon), 3423 nucleotides. Lineage: Eukaryota; Metazoa; Chordata; Actinopteri; Salmoniformes; Salmonidae. The record is from Ensembl.